GAGGCGUUUCCUGCGCUGAGCCCAGGUCGUCCGGGGACAGCCAUCUGAGAGUUCAGCAGGAGCCACCUCUGGGCCGGGGCCCUGCGCUGGGGAAUCCAGUCUGCCACUCGUGACCACGACCUGGUGCUAUCACGCCCCGAGCCUCGGCUUCUACCCACCAGGGUCACAGUCUGCUUUUAGGGUGGUGAGGACUCCAGAUGAUGUCCCUGCCGCGUGAUCGUCGUGACAGGCUCCACGACAGCCCAGGAAGCUGCUUGUCUUUGCAGUUGGAGGGGGCUGAGCUAAGAAGCCGAGCACCGGGCGGUCCGGGAGUGGGGAGCAGUCACGGCAGCCCCACGAGCGCUCUGCUGUGCCACCAGCCGACGAUGGACUAAAACCUCCACAGGGGCCGGGGAUUUAGCUCAGCGGUUCGGUGGCCUGCCUUGCAAGCGCAAGGACCUGAGUUCAAUCCCUGGUACCUGGUAAUGCCACCAGCCGACGAUGGACUAAAACCUCCACAGGGGCCGGGGAUUUAGCUCAGCGGUUCGGUGGCCUGCCUUGCAAGCGCAAGGACCUGAGUUCAAUCCCUGGUACCAAAUAAUAAUAAUAAAUAAAUAAAAUAAAACCUCCGCAGAGUGUGAACCAAAAUAAACCUUUCCUCCUUUAAAUGGUGAGUGUCAGCUAUUUUGCCCCAGG
This 675-nucleotide long non-coding RNA is filed under the name Fukomys damarensis (Damara mole-rat). Its description in RNAcentral is "lncRNA (ENSFDAG00000023736.1)". The record is from RNAcentral. Lineage: Eukaryota; Metazoa; Chordata; Mammalia; Rodentia; Bathyergidae.